UUGCAAAUUUCUGUAUAUAUUCAAGAAGAAGAACUCCCAGGGGUUUUCCUUCGCUUGUUUAGGAGAAGAAUCAGGUGCCAGUGGAUUUGCUUUUGUUAUCUUGGUUUGGUAUAUCAAUGGAGGUGGGAUUCCUUCAU
Long non-coding RNA from Coffea eugenioides, 137 nucleotides. RefSeq lists it as uncharacterized. The record is from RefSeq and is a predicted model, not a curated record. The transcript is spliced from 3 exons. Lineage: Eukaryota; Viridiplantae; Streptophyta; Magnoliopsida; Gentianales; Rubiaceae.